GACGAACGCUGGCGGCGUGCUUAACACAUGCAAGUCGAACGGUGAAGCGCCUUCCUUUUUGGUGGGUGUGGAUGAGUGGCGAACGGGUGAGUAACACGUGAGUAACCUGCCCCCUUCUUCUGGAUAACCGCAUGAAAGUGUGGCUAAUACGGGAUAUUCUGGGUCUGUCGCAUGAUGGGUCUGGGAAAGAUAUUGUUUCGGUGGGGGAUGUGCUCGCGGCCUAUCAGCUUGUUGGUGGGGUGAUGGCCUACCAAGGCGGUGACGGGUAGCCGGCCUGAGAGGGUGGACGGUCACACUGGGACUGAGACACGGCCCAGACUCCUACGGGAGGCAGCAGUGGGGAAUAUUGCACAAUGGGCGCAAGCCUGAUGCAGCGACGCCGCGUGAGGGAUGGAGGCCUUCGGGUUGUGAACCUCUUUCGCCAGUGAAGCAGGCCUGCCUCGUUUGUGGGUGGGUUGACGGUAGCUGGAGAAGAAGCGCCGGCUAACUACGUG
This 494-nucleotide ribosomal RNA is filed under the name uncultured bacterium. Its description in RNAcentral is "partial 16S ribosomal RNA". It matches the Rfam family "Bacterial small subunit ribosomal RNA", at positions 28 to 507 of the family's 1533-position model. The record is from RNAcentral.